RNAcentral lists this ribosomal RNA (494 nucleotides) under uncultured bacterium. RNAcentral's name for it is "partial 16S ribosomal RNA". It matches the Rfam family "Bacterial small subunit ribosomal RNA", at positions 28 to 507 of the family's 1533-position model. The record is from RNAcentral.
GACGAACGCUGGCGGCGUGCUUAACACAUGCAAGUCGAACGGUGAAGCGCCUUCCUUUUUGGUGGGUGUGGAUGAGUGGCGAACGGGUGAGUAACACGUGAGUAACCUGCCCCCUUCUUCUGGAUAACCGCAUGAAAGUGUGGCUAAUACGGGAUAUUCUGGGUCUGUCGCAUGAUGGGUCUGGGAAAGAUAUUGUUUCGGUGGGGGAUGGGCUCGCGGCCUAUCAGCUUGUUGGUGGGGUGAUGGCCUACCAAGGCGGUGACGGGUAGCCGGCCUGAGAGGGUGGACGGUCACAUUGGGACUGAGACACGGCCCAGACUCCUACGGGAGGCAGCAGUGGGGAAUAUUGCACAAUGGGCGCAAGCCUGAUGCAGCGACGCCGCGUGAGGGAUGGAGGCCUUCGGGUUGUGAACCUCUUUCGCCAGUGAAGCAGGCCUGCCUCGUUUGUGGGUGGGUUGACGGUAGCUGGAUAAGAAGCGCCGGCUAACUACGUG